Molecule: ribosomal RNA, 800 nt
Filed under: uncultured bacterium
Lineage: Bacteria
Description: bacterial SSU rRNA
Rfam family: Bacterial small subunit ribosomal RNA
Source: RNAcentral
GGGAAGUCAUACAUGGCAGUCGAACGAAGUUACUUGCUUAGAUCUCUUCGGAGUGACGAGCUUUUAACUUAGUGGCGGACGGGUGAGUAACGCGUGGGUAACCUGCCUUAUACAGGGGGAUAACACUUAGAAAUAGGUGCUAAUACCGCAUAAGCGCACGGGGCUGCAUGGCCCAGUGUGAAAAACUCCGGUGGUAUAAGAUGGACCCGCGUCUGAUUAGCUUGUUGGCGGGGUAACGGCCCACCAAGGCGACGAUCAGUAGCCGGCCUGAGAGGGUGGACGGCCACAUUGGGACUGAGACACGGCCCAAACUCCUACGGGAGGCAGCAGUGGGGAAUAUUGGACAAUGGGGGGAACCCUGAUCCAGCGACGCCGCGUGAGUGAAGAAGUAUUUCGGUAUGUAAAGCUCUAUCAGCAGGGAAGAAAGAAAUGACGGUACCUGACUAAGAAGCCCCGGCUAACUACGUGCCAGCAGCCGCGGUAAUACGUAGGGGGCAAGCGUUAUCCGGAUUUACUGGGUGUAAAGGGAGCGUAGACGGUUGUGCAAGUCUGAAGUGAAAGGCGGGGGCCCAACCCCCGGACUGCUUUGGAAACUGUAUAACUGGAGUGCAGGAGAGGUAAGUGGAAUUCCUAGUGUAGCGGUGAAAUGCGUAGAUAUUAGGAGGAACACCAGUGGCGAAGGCGGCUUACUGGACUGUAACUGACGUUGAGGCUCGAAAGCGUGGGGAGCAAACAGGAUUAGAUACCCUGGUAGUCCACGCCGUAAACGAUGAUCGCUAGGUGUCGGUGGGUAUGGGCCC